GACGAACGCUGGCGGCGUGCCUAAUACAUGCAAGUAGAACGCACAGUUUAUACCGUAGCUUGCUACACCAUAGACUGUGAGUUGCGAACGGGUGAGUAACGCGUAGGUAACCUGCCUGGUAGCGGGGGAUAACUAUUGGAAACGAUAGCUAAUACCGCAUAAUAUUGAUUAUUGCAUGAUAAUUGAUUGAAAGAUGCUAUUGCAUCACUACCAGAUGGACCUGCGUUGUAUUAGCUAGUAGGUGAGGUAACGGCUCACCUAGGCGACGAUACAUAGCCGACCUGAGAGGGUGAUCGGCCACACUGGGACUGAGACACGGCCCAGACUCCUACGGGAGGCAGCAGUAGGGAAUCUUCGGCAAUGGACGAAAGUCUGACCGAGCAACGCCGCGUGAGUGAAGAAGGUUUUCGGAUCGUAAAGCUCUGUUGUAAGAGAAGAACGGGUGUGAGAGUGGAAAGUUCACACUGUGACGGUAGCUUACCAGAAAGAGACGGCUAACUACGUG
RNAcentral lists this ribosomal RNA (505 nucleotides) under uncultured bacterium. RNAcentral's name for it is "partial 16S ribosomal RNA". It matches the Rfam family "Bacterial small subunit ribosomal RNA", at positions 28 to 507 of the family's 1533-position model. The record is from RNAcentral.